UUAAACGUCCAUACCACGUUGAAUACACCGGCUCUCGUCCGAUCACCGAAGUUAAGCAACGUCGGGCGCGGUCAGUACGUGGAUGGGUGACAGCCCGGAAAUACCGCGUGACGUUGGCU
RNAcentral lists this ribosomal RNA (119 nucleotides) under Melitaea cinxia (Glanville fritillary). Lineage: Eukaryota; Metazoa; Arthropoda; Insecta; Lepidoptera; Nymphalidae. The record is from RNAcentral.